AGUUAGGGGUAAAAGACAAAGUUGUCAAAAAAGGGUCCAAAUUAAAAAAAAAAAAAAAAGUUCUAAAGGUUUAGAAAUGCCAAUUUCAAUCAGCUCUUCUUCUUCAGCCAGUUCCCAAACUCAGAGCACAAAUUCACCAGAAAAUCACCUUAUAUCGGGGGCCACAACAACCGAUACACACUCCGCUGCCGAUGGAAAACCCUAAAUCAAAGGCCGCCAGCACUUCCACCGCCGGAACCUGUCCAUCAUACAAGAAAUACGAGAUCCGCCACAGACUCCCAAAUCCAAAAAUCGCCGCUCUCUUAGUGAUCGACAUGCAGAACUACUUCUCCUCCAUGGCCAACCCCAUCUUCCCCAAUCUCCUCACUACCAUCCGCCUUUGCCGCGCCGCUUCCAUUCCUGUCAUCUUCACCCGCCACGCCCACACCUCUGCCUCCGACAACCCCAUCCUCAGCGAGUGGUGGAACGGCGACAUCAUCCUCGACGGAACCCCCGCCGCCGACCUCAUUUCCAAUCUCGACCGGCUGGAUACCGAUGAGGUCAUCCGGAAGAACACUUACAGCGCGUUCCGGAACACGCGCCUAGAGGACUGCCUGAAAGAGAAGGGCGUGGAAGAGGUGAUCGUGACAGGGGUUAUGACCAACAUUUGCUGUGAGACGACGGCGCGUGAGGCGUUUGUGAGAGGGUAUAGAGUGUUCUUCUCCACCGAUGCGACGGCGACGGUGAACUUGGAGCUACAUGAGGCUACGUUGAAGACUCUGGCUUAUGGGUUCGCUUACUUGGUGGAUUGCCAGAGGCUUCGAGAGCUUUCUGCCAUGGAGAAAACUGGGAAACCAUGUAAUAAUUCUGAAGUUGUUGAUCUGGAAGAUGAUAGAGAGGCUAGGAUUGACCCUCAACUUGGAAUUGUGGAGCCAGUGAUUGGGAUGAUGUUUAGUUCUAUCGAGGAAACGUAUCAGUUCUAAGUCAAUUAUGCAGCAAAAGUUGGUUUUACCGUUAGCAAACAAUACCACAAAAAGAAAAAGAAUGGAGUUGUUUCAAGAGCUGCCUUUUGUUGCUCAAGAGAAGGGUUUCGUCAAGUAGACAAGAGAAAAGAAUUUGUUUAUUUUACUCGGCCAAGUUCAAGGACAGGAUGUGAAGCUUCAUUGGCAUGCUUGCUUGGAAAGAACGGUCAAUACAAAGUUGUGUCUUUUAAAGAAAAUCACAAUCACGACCUUGGUAAAACAACGAUGAAGCAUACUUUAAACGUUGAUAAGAGCAUUUCCAAUGCUCAAAAAGUUCAUGUUGCAGAUAGUUCAAGAACUUCAUUUAGAGCAACUAUGGAACUAAUGAAUAACGAGGUGGGUGGUAGAGAACGUAUGAGAUUUGUGGAUGGAGAUUACAUAAAUUAUAUACCCAUAGAGAAAUAAUCAAGAAUUGAAAAGGGAGAAGUUGAAGCACUUGCACAGUAUUUUGAGAAAAAAACAGAUGGAAAACUCUUCUAUUUUUUAUGCAUCGCAACUCGAUGAAAAUAACAUGGUCGCUAAUAUCUUUUGGACCGAUGCACGUUCUGUGUAUGAUUAUGAGUGUUUUGGAGAUGUCAUUUGUUUUGACACUACAUGUCAUUUGUUUUGAGUGAACUUGGUCGACCUUUUACUCCAUUCUUUGGAGUCAAUCAUCAUAAACAAUCGGUGAUAUUUGGUGCUGCUUUACUUUAUGAUGAAACAAUUGAGUCUCUUAAAUGGUUGUUUAAUACUUUUCUUGGUGUAAUGUCUGGAAAGCAACCGGAGACAAUUCUUACGAAUCAAUUUACAAUAAUAGCUAAAGCAAUAUGUGAUGUCUUUCCUGAAGCUCAACAUCGACUAUGUGUUUGGCAUAUUUUUCAAAGUGCUGCUAAGACCUUGAGUCGUGUUUUAUGGACCAAAUCAGUUUGUUCACGACUUUAGCAGUUGUUUAUUUGAUUAUGAAAAUGAAGAUGAUUGGUUGUUAGCAUGGCAAAAAAUGUUAGAUAAAUAUGCUCUUAGAGAUAACAAGUGGUUGACAUAUUUGUUUGAAUUGCGUGAAAAAUGGGCAAUAGUAUAUGGGCGACAUACUUUUACACCUGACAUGAAAAGUACACUACGAAUGAGGUAUUGAAAAAAUAUUUAAGGCCUGAUUAUGACAUUUUGCAAUUCCUUCUACAAUAUGAUAGUUUUUUAGCAGAUCGAAGAGGUGAGGAAAUGGUUGCGGAUUUUAAGAUUAAUCAUACGACACCUAUCUUGAUAAUGGAUACAGGAAUGUCACUACAUGUGGUAGACAUUUACACUCCAGCAAUGUUUAAAUUGUUUGAAAAAGAAUAUAUCAAUAUUCUUAGUUGUAGUAUCUACAAGAUUGGUAAGUUUGACGGCGUAUCAGAGUAUAAAGUAUUAUUUCAUGGAAGCUCUUGUCAUUGGUUAGUUAAAUAUGAGGCUUAAACACAAAUAGUCACUUGUAGUUGCAUGAAAUUCAUUUCCACUGGGAUUCUAUGUAGUCACGCUCUUAAGGUACUUGAUAGGAAGAAUGUGAAAAAGCUUCCUACUUCAUAUAUUUUGAAAAGAUGGACAAAAGAUGCAAGAGCUUCAGAUAGUCAAAUGCUCAAGGUUUGUGGAAAGUCAACUGGAGAGCGUUAUAAUCACCUGUGUCAUAAAUUGCCGCAGAACAUGAAAAGUUGUUUGAGCAUGCUUCUCAAAAUUUUGUUCAAUUGCCCAAAGAUUUAGAGGAGAUGAAGAAAAAUAUCUUCUGUGGAAAAUAAUCAUGUAAAAGGAUGUAGGAGAUUUGAGUUCUCAUCGAAAAUGGUUCAAGAACGGGGAAAAGGACAACAUAUACAAGAGCAUUGAAUCAAGAGAGAGUCUAUAGUUGGUUGCUUAGUUGAAAAGAAGAGAUACAAACAAAAUUUGAAGCUGAACUAAACUUUUCUUCAAAUUACACAACAUUCAAACAGGAAAAUAGUAAAAAGUAUUUUGGAGGAAGAUACACGGGGAAAAGUAUGAACGAUAGUUUGAAUCUCAUUACAUCCGCGAAGGUUCUUUCGUAAUGGGUGUUAACACUACUGAUCGAAUACAGACGCAUUCUUCCUUGUCUAGAGGUUGCAGUGUGUAUUCUCUACGAGGAGGCGUAUGAAGAUCUAGAUCAUUUGUUGUGGCGGAGUGAAUUUCCUUGUUUGUUUUGGAACUGCCUAAUCAAAGUUUUUGGGUUGAGCUUGAGCUUGACAUAGAAUUGCUGCCACUUUCUGAUAAGGGAAGGACUUUGGAGUGGAGUAUUUGGUUCGAGAGGAACGGUAGAAUCUUGAGAGGUAUUGCCACAACGUUUCGUUCUUUGUUAGGUUUAAUGCUUUGGACGUGUCUAAAGACUUGCAAUUCUUCGUUAGGGCUUAUUGUGUCUCCUUUUUGUGUAACUGGGUUGAUUUAAACCUACAAUUUGUUAUGUGGUGUUCACUUACAUAUUUCAUUAAAACCUAACCAUAGUAUUAAAUUUUCGUCGAAUUAUCAAUAUUUCCACAUUUUCAUCAAUCUGUCACAUUUAUUGUUACCGUUAUCCUUAUCGUUACUGUUAGGGUCAAACAACGAUAACGUAAAAUGUGACAGAUUC
Molecule: non-coding RNA, 3582 nt
Organism: Benincasa hispida (wax gourd)
Lineage: Eukaryota; Viridiplantae; Streptophyta; Magnoliopsida; Cucurbitales; Cucurbitaceae
Source: RefSeq, a predicted model, not a curated record